CUUGUAUUUUCAAUCUUUCUAGCUUGGAUUUUAGCUACAAGAAAAAUCUUACAGUAAAGGAUGAUCAUGACCAGAGUGGGGAUGAAGAACAACAGAAAAUCUACUAGCACCCAAUUUUGAUUCACAUAAACCUGACAAGUCCCUACACAGGUAAAUAACCAAAGAGAUACACAUCUGGACUGAUAUUAGAUUUAAAUUUGGGGAUGAGCAAAAAGGAAAGAUUCUUAUGAGCAUCCAUGGGAGAAGAGGAGAGAAAUAUUUGUCUUUCUGUAUAUGAUCCUUCUACUGACAAGAGAAAUUGGAAUUUGAACUGUAUUGAGUGAAAAGCUCAUUCCACAGAGUCACCAAGCUAGAGAUAAGUGGUCAUGAUAGACAAAUGCAAUUUUCUUGGAGAAGAAUGGGUUGGAAAAGCAUUUAUUAAGCACUUUUAUGGACCAAGCAUUUUGAAAGACAAGAAAGAGGAAGGACUGGAAAGUAACAAUUCUAUGAACAAGAGACAAACACUUUGUUUUUUCAUGAAGAAGAAGAAGAAGAUGUAGACCAGAUCCUUGACUGGAUGCCAUUUUGCAGAUCAACUUCACUAGAGAAGGAUACAACUCUGUAGAGGAGAGCAUAACAGAUUUGGAUGGAACAGUUCUAGCAGCAUUAGUGGCAGGAUUGGACCCCAGCCCUUUGAAUAGCCUGUCUCUGCAAUACAUGAUUAGUACUGUAUUUGAUAAUGGCAGAGGGAACCAUAAGCAGAGUGGUCUGCCCUUUUAGGUAGCAGAUAGAUUGCCCAUGGUUUCUCAUUGGGAGCUCAACGGUACUAGGUCCUCAUUCUGUUUGGUAAAAGGCUUAUAUAACAAUAUUGAACUGGACACUAUUUUUCCACAAAAGUCAUUUAGAGAGAAAAUAUGAAAACUAAAAAUUUCAAUCCACCCCCCCGCCUCUACCCCUUCCCUCCCCGGCCCACUCUGUCUUUCACUUUUACAUAAACAAGAUAACUCAGUGAGAGCUUAAAUAAUAAUUGCUAACAUUUAUAUAGAACUGUAAGUUUUGCAAAACAUUUUACAAAUGUUAUCCCAUUUGAUCUUCACAACAAUGCUGGUAGAGAGGUAUUACUAUUAUCUCCAUUUUAUAGAUGAGGAAACUGGGGCAAAGGCUAAAUAACUUCCCUAGUCACACAGAUAUUAAGUUUCUGGGGCUGGGUUUAAAUUAAAAUCUUCUUGAUUUCAGGUCCAGGGUUUCAUCUGGUGUGCCAUCUAGCUGUCUCUCUUUCCUGGAUGCCCUUGGGCAGUAUUGGAAAGCAGAGUUGGUCAGUCCUUAGAACCAGGCUUAGGAAGGCUCAGUAGCAUAACUGAGUUAGACUCUGAUGACAAAUUGUUCUUAGAAAAUAUAUCUAGCUCCUACAAGAAGUUCCAAGGCUGACAUGCAUGUGUAUCAAAUUACAAGCAAGACAAAAAUUAGCUCACAUUUUGACAUACAUAUUUAUUAGGUCCCUUUCUACAAAUCACAGUACAAAAAGAAUCAGGUUUCCUAAUGUGCCUGGUGUACUCUGAAAUGGACAAAAACUAGUAAAACUUUUCAAUGUUUUAA
Long non-coding RNA from Dromiciops gliroides (monito del monte), 1575 nucleotides. RefSeq lists it as uncharacterized. The record is from RefSeq and is a predicted model, not a curated record. NCBI's taxonomy places the organism in Eukaryota, Metazoa, Chordata, Mammalia, Microbiotheria, Microbiotheriidae. The transcript has 3 exons.